This 497-nucleotide ribosomal RNA is filed under the name uncultured bacterium. Its description in RNAcentral is "partial 16S ribosomal RNA". It matches the Rfam family "Bacterial small subunit ribosomal RNA", at positions 28 to 507 of the family's 1533-position model. The record is from RNAcentral.
GAUGAACGCUGGCGGCGUGCCUAAUACAUGCAAGUCGAGCGAACGGACGAGAAGCUUGCUUCUCUGAUGUUAGCGGCGGACGGGUGAGUAACACGUGGAUAACCUACCUAUAAGACUGGGAUAACUUCGGGAAACCGGAGCUAAUACCGGAUGAUAUUUUGAACCGCAUGGUUCAAAAGUGAAAGACGGUCUUGCUGUCACUUAUAGAUGGAUCCGCGCUGCAUUAGCUAGUUGGUAAGGUAACGGCUUACCAAGGCAACGAUGCAUAGCCGACCUGAGAGGGUGAUCGGCCACACUGGAACUGAGACACGGUCCAGACUCCUACGGGAGGCAGCAGUAGGGAAUCUUCCGCAAUGGGCGAAAGCCUGACGGAGCAACGCCGCGUGAGUUAUGAAGGUCUUCGGAUCGUAAAACUCUGUUAUUAGGGAAGAACAUAUGUGUAAGUAACUGUGCACAUCUUGACGGUACCUAAUCAGAAAGCCACGGCUAACUACGUG